GCCUGGCUAGCUCAGUUGGUAGAGCAUGUGACUCUUGAUCUUAGGGUCAUGAGAUGGAGGUCCAUGCUGGGUG
RNAcentral lists this transfer RNA (73 nucleotides) under Felis catus (domestic cat). It matches the Rfam family "tRNA". From Rfam's summary of the family: Transfer RNA (tRNA) molecules are approximately 80 nucleotides in length. Their secondary structure includes four short double-helical elements and three loops (D, anti-codon, and T loops). Further hydrogen bonds mediate the characteristic L-shaped molecular structure. tRNAs have two regions of fundamental functional importance: the anti-codon, which is responsible for specific mRNA codon recognition, and the 3' end, to which the tRNAs corresponding amino acid is attached (by aminoacyl-tRNA synthetases). tRNAs cope with the degeneracy of the genetic code in two manners: having more than one tRNA (with a specific anti-codon) for a particular amino acid; and 'wobble' base-pairing, i.e. permitting non-standard base-pairing at the 3rd anti-codon position. The record is from Rfam by way of RNAcentral. Lineage: Eukaryota; Metazoa; Chordata; Mammalia; Carnivora; Felidae.